RNA transcript from Lycium ferocissimum, 2960 nucleotides. RefSeq lists it as uncharacterized. The transcript is spliced from 3 exons. NCBI's taxonomy places the organism in Eukaryota, Viridiplantae, Streptophyta, Magnoliopsida, Solanales, Solanaceae. The record is from RefSeq and is a predicted model, not a curated record.
UGGACUAGUUGGAGCCUAUUUUUGGGUAGAGAAGGAAGUAAAAUACCUAAUCACACCAACUGGCUCUCCCAAUUUUGUUUCAUUCUUUCACACAAAGCAUCACAUCACCACCACCCCAAAGCAAGCAUUCACAAUAAUCAUUCUCUCUCUGGCGCAAGAAAAAAAGACAUGACAAUUUGCGUUAUUAUUCCCCCAAUUGAAAACACUCUUCACAUGCUUUUCCUGCUCAGGAAAUGUAUUGUUCAUCAUACUACUAUUUCUUGUUGGCCCUCCAAACCCUUGUGAUCUCUCUUUUUCAAGAUUCCACUUUCCCAUUUAUAUUUAUCUCUAUACAUACACUUAACCUCAUCUCAUCUUCAAUAUACACAAAGCCAGCAUCUUUUGUUUUCUUCAACAUAGUGCCACUCUGGAAUGAAAAGAGCAGCGUACUACAGCUGUGUAGCCCAAAUGCAGGAUCAUUGGCCUAUCAAGAAGGCUCUGACAUUGUCUGAUGUAGAUAUCACUCAUCCAUUCCUCACUUUGUCUAGGCAACAAGUGGAGAAUCACAUUGUGUUGCAUAUGACAACAGAAGAACAGGAGCAUUUGAGAGCCCAAGGCCAAGUAGAUUUUAAUGCCCGAGAUGAUGAUACAGGUGAGAUGUAUGUGAUGAAGUUGAAAUGGCGGGGAAGCUAUUACAAUCUUAUCGGUAAGUGGGGCAGAGUUGUACGAGGGAAAGGACUUGAUGUUGGGCAAGAGAUUAAAAUACGUUGGGAAAAUGGGUGCUUACACUUCUCAGUCCCACAGCAGCAGAUUGUUGCAGUCCCACCAAUUCGGAUGGUUGCCGCACCAGUAGUGCAGGACCACUGGCCCAUUAAGAAGAUCUUGACCCUCUCUGAUGUCGACACUAAUCAUCCAUUUCUCCCUCUGCCCCGUCGAUUAGUUGAGGAUCAUAUCCUUGUGCAUUGGACACCUCAGCAACAAGAACAGCUGAGGAAGGAGGAGCAUGUGAAUGUAAAUGCCCGGGAUUAUGAUACCGGCGAAGCUUAUAUAAUGAAAUUUAAGUGGAGGGGGAAUUACUGUAACCUUAUUGGGAAAUGGGGAACAAUAAUUCGGCAGAAGGGACUUGGUGUUGGGAAAGAGAUCAGGUUGCGCUGGGCAAAUCAGUGCUUGUUCUUUUCAGUUCCCCAGGAGCGGUUUGUUGCCACAGCCUCGGGGAUGGAUAACUGGCCUAUUAAGAAGGCACUUACAUUGUCUGAUGUGGAUACCAAUCAUCCAUUUCUUACUUUGCCCGGCAAGGCUGUUGAAGAUCAUAUUCUUUUUUAUUGGUCACAGCAAGCCAGAGAACAACUGAGAAAUGAACAUCAGAUGAAUAUUAAUGCUCGAGAUGAUGACAAUGGUGAUGCCUAUUUGAUGAAGUUAAGAUGGCGGGGUAGUUAUUAUAAUCUCAUUGGAAAAUGGGGAAAAAUCAUUAGAGGGAAGAAACUUCAGGUUGGAAUGGAGAUCAGACUACACUGGGAUAAUGGAUGCUUAUUCUUCUCAGUUCCUCAGUUAUAGCAUUGCCCAACCUGUAAAUGUAGGUGAACCACCAAAUCGCUUUUCACAUUUCAUGCAUCAUUUCAACACACUGGAAAUUAAACUAUUUCAGACGAUAAUUCAUUGAAGCAGUGGCUUGGCAGAGCUGGAUUUAAAUCUGUCCAGGCAGCAAGUGACUGACCAAGCACAAAUUUUGUCAGGCUCUUAAGAUUUCAAGACAAAUUACCCCUGCUAUAGUUGAAUUCUGGUCAAUGAUGGAUUGUCUGGACUGACAGAUUGACUCUGCUGAGCCUUCUGCUGCACAUUGCUUAUAUAUAACACCAUCUUCUGUUCAGCGUUAAUAGCUAGAUGAUUCCAGCUACUUGGAAGUCUUCAAGCUUGUCAUGAUCCUUAAUGAGCUGUUUCUAUUGCAGUCAGUGUGACCUCUACCUUUGCUUUUGCAGAAAAAGGACAGUUGCUUUCUACCAGAUGUUUAUAAAUUGGUUCUUUAGUACAACCAAUUGGAUAUUCUUGUUUUGUGGGAAUUCCUUAUUACCAAAAGUUACUAGGAACUUCAGGAGUUUUGGGCCCUUAAAGCAGAGACUCGGGAAGCCCUCGGGGCUUUCGUCUAUUGGUAAGAGCACAACACGUGAUGUGUGGAUUAGGUGCACGUCAUGAGUUUGAACUCUGCCACAGGAAAGAGCCUAGCGUUUCAGUGGAGAAGGGUAAAUGUGUAGGUCCAUUAUCCACUGAGCUUCGGACAGUGCGCCAAUUGUCUCUCGAAGAUUUUUCGGUUAUCAACUGGAAAAAGAAGAGAUUCAGGGAGCCUAUACCUUGUGAAAAGAAAGGGUGUAUAAUUUUUGCAGUCGGGAACUGGUAAAGCUGGGUAUCAGAAAGUGACUGCAGCAUAGGAGUUAUUUUCUGUCAUUAGUCUGCUGAAACUGAAAGCACUAGACCCGAACACAGGACUUGAUCAAAUUGCUUCUCUGGCUGCAAGAGUUUUUUGGCAUCUGCUGAUGUAUCCAAGUAAGCUACAAGCUUCAUUAAAGUGACUGUUACGCGGCCGACAGCUGCUGUUCGAUUCUGUAUGCUGCCUUAAGUAGUGAUGCUUUCUAGAUCAUGAUAUAGUUGGGGAAUCUUUCAUUUGUCAUAUUGAUAUGAUCCGGAAUGGUUCAAGUGCUCAAUUUUAUCCAUGGACUUGUACUAGAAGCGGAGACAAGGCCUUUCAAGCUUUAGAAGCCAUGUUCAUGGAGAAUGAAGCUAUGGAAGCACUUAAAGAGAGUCAUUGGAGGGCCUUCAAGCUAUGGAAGAUAGCAUGGAGGAAUAAGUCAAGAGACCAAGAGCCCAAGGCCCAAAGCUUGCCUCUUAAAGUGGCUACAAUUACAAACUUGGAUGGUUAAAGGCUGGAAGGUGGUUAUUUCUGCAAAAGGACCAAUUUUCGAAAAUAAGCCAUCAUCCAAGAAGACCAA